RNAcentral lists this ribosomal RNA (433 nucleotides) under uncultured bacterium. Its description in RNAcentral is "partial 16S ribosomal RNA". It matches the Rfam family "Bacterial small subunit ribosomal RNA", at positions 29 to 507 of the family's 1533-position model. The record is from RNAcentral.
AACGAACGCUGGCGGCAUGCCUAACACAUGCAAGUCGAACGACACCUUCGGGUCUAGUUGCUCACAGGUGCGUCACGUGUCGGAACCUUCCUUUAUGUUCCGAAUACCUCAGUGAAAUUUGAGCUAAUAUCGGGUGAUUUCUUCUAACCCAAGAUUUAUCGCCUUUGGAUGGGCGCGAGUUGGAUUAGCCGUUUGGUGGGGUAAAGGCCUACCAAGGCUUCGCUCCAUAGCUGGUCUGAGAGGAUGAGCAGCCACACUGGGUCUGAGACACGGCCCGGACUACUAGGGGAGGGAGGAAAGGGGAAUAUUGGACAAUGGGGGAAAGACUGAUCCAGCAAGGCCGGGAAAGUGAUGAAGGCGGUAGGGAUGUAAAGCAGUUUUACACGAGAUGAUAAUGACAGUAUCGGGAGAAUAAGCACCGGCUAACUCCGUG